CUUGCAGCCAUAUCAUGCUGAAACACCAAUUCCCAUACAAUGCCUGAAGUUAAGCAAUGUCAAGCUUGGUCAGUACCUAGAUGGGUGACCAGUUGGGAAUACCAGGUGCUGUAAG
Acanthosepion pharaonis is the source of this 115-nucleotide non-coding RNA. Lineage: Eukaryota; Metazoa; Mollusca; Cephalopoda; Sepiida; Sepiidae. The record is from the annotation of a GenBank genome assembly.